GACGAACGCUGGCGGCAUGCCUAACACAUGCAAGUCGAACGAGACCUUCGGGUCUAGUGGCGCACGGGUGCGUAACGCGUGGGAACCUGCCCUUAGGUUCGGAAUAACUCCCCGAAAGGGGUGCUAAUACCGGAUAAUGUCUUCGGACCAAAGAUUUAUCGCCUUUGGAUGGGCCCGCGUUGGAUUAGCUAGUUGGUAGGGUAAAAGCCUACCAAGGCGACGAUCCAUAGCUGGUCUGAGAGGAUGAUCAGCCACACUGGGACUGAGACACGGCCCAGACUCCUACGGGAGGCAGCAGUGGGGAAUAUUGGACAAUGGGCGAAAGCCUGAUCCAGCAAUGCCGCGUGAGUGAUGAAGGCCUUAGGGUUGUAAAGCUCUUUUACCCGGGAUGAUAAUGACAGUACCGGGAGAAUAAGCUCCGGCUAACUCCGUA
This 433-nucleotide ribosomal RNA is filed under the name uncultured bacterium. RNAcentral's name for it is "partial 16S ribosomal RNA". It matches the Rfam family "Bacterial small subunit ribosomal RNA", at positions 28 to 507 of the family's 1533-position model. The record is from RNAcentral.